Molecule: ribosomal RNA, 158 nt
Filed under: ascomycete sp. E133
Lineage: Eukaryota; Fungi; Ascomycota
Also listed under: 11 other names
Description: 5.8S ribosomal RNA
Rfam family: 5.8S ribosomal RNA
About the family: 5.8S ribosomal RNA (5.8S rRNA) is a component of the large subunit of the eukaryotic ribosome.
Source: RNAcentral
AAACUUUCAACAACGGAUCUCUUGGUUCUGGCAUCGAUGAAGAACGCAGCGAAAUGCGAUAAGUAAUGUGAAUUGCAGAAUUCAGUGAAUCAUCGAAUCUUUGAACGCACAUUGCGCCCGCCAGCACUCUGGCGGGCAUGCCUGUUCGAGCGUCAUUA